AUUUAAAAGAAAAGGAGGUUAUAAAAGUCAUUCAUUUGUAUUUAUGUGCAUAAUACUAAAACAUCUGUCAGGUAAGUCACUGGAGACUUUAAAAUAACAUCCUUUGAAAUUUUUUUAUUAUAGUUAUAAUGUUCAUUUUAUUUGUUAUUAGCAUUAUUGUUUUAAUUUACAUAUUCUGAUUUUCUGAAUCCUGGAAUUAAAGGAGUGUUAAGAUUGUUAGCCUACUGACAACCUUGCAUAUUAAAAAAUCAUACUAAAGUUCGGGAGUAUGAGAAAUGCUAACAAAGGUAGAUGAGAAACUGGCUAUUAGACUCAAUAAGGAGGAACCCGGAAAAUAAUGAUCCGAACCUGGAUGUACUCCCCAAUGUCAUACAUUUCACUCCACCUAAUUUUCUUCCGGUCACAUCCACAUUCCAAAUUCCAAAUGAAUGCAAUUUUUUUUUAACCAUCAUUUUUCAUUCUAUACAUCUGUUAUUAACCUGUUCUACAGCAGAGCUCACAGAUCCAAAAGCUUACAGUGUGUAGUGGCCUUGCCCAGGACUUCUGGCUAUACUUCCCAGACAGCAGUGAGUCUGUGAUGAAGCACGGGAGGCAUUUCUACAAGGAGCAGAUACCAGGCUCCAAGCAAUGCUUGGUGGAAAUCCCUGUCUAGAGAUUCUGAAUCUUCUGAUUUUUUUUUUCCAGAAAAAUUAACAAUUCAGAGCUACACAUGAAACUAACUUUUGAGACACUGCAAAGCAACCAAAAUACAUGUUCUUGAAGAAGGAAGUCACUGGCCACUGUAAUCACAGACCUUCAAAACCACCUGAAAGGACUUCAGAGAAGAGAUCCGGAGUAAGGCACUCUGUGCUCUGGGAAAAACUGGCAGAACGGGUCUUCAGACAGUUAGAUAUUUUCCGAAUAUUUUAUGAGCCCAAUUUCUUGCCUCUUCUCAUGUAUAGAAAAGCACUAAAAUCAUUAAUGAUGAUAUCGGCUCUUUGUGACUAGCAGCAAGCCUCUGCCAAAAUGUGUGGUUG
Molecule: long non-coding RNA, 1016 nt
Filed under: Capra hircus (goat)
Lineage: Eukaryota; Metazoa; Chordata; Mammalia; Artiodactyla; Bovidae
Description: lncRNA (ENSCHIG00000001628.1)
Source: RNAcentral